RNAcentral lists this unclassified non-coding RNA (603 nucleotides) under Aspergillus tamarii. RNAcentral describes it as "sequence contains 18S rRNA gene, ITS1, 5.8S rRNA gene, ITS2, 28S rRNA gene". The stretch from base 229 to 382 matches the Rfam family "5.8S ribosomal RNA". Lineage: Eukaryota; Fungi; Ascomycota; Eurotiomycetes; Eurotiales; Aspergillaceae. The record is from RNAcentral.
AGUCGUAACAAGGUUUCCGUAGGUGAACCUGCGGAAGGAUCAUUACCGAGUGUAGGGUUCCUAGCGAGCCCAACCUCCCACCCGUGUUUACUGUAACCUUAGUUGCUUCGGCGGGCCCGCCUUUAAGGCCGCCGGGGGGCAUCAGCCCCCGGGCCCGCGCCCGCCGGAGACACCACGAACUCUGUCUGAUCUAGUGAAGUCUGAGUUGAUUGUAUCGCAAUCAGUUAAAACUUUCAACAAUGGAUCUCUUGGUUCCGGCAUCGAUGAAGAACGCAGCGAAAUGCGAUAACUAGUGUGAAUUGCAGAAUUCCGUGAAUCAUCGAGUCUUUGAACGCACAUUGCGCCCCCUGGUAUUCCGGGGGGCAUGCCUGUCCGAGCGUCAUUGCUGCCCAUCAAGCACGGCUUGUGUGUUGGGUCGUCGUCCCCUCUUCGGGGGGGACGGGCCCCAAAGGCAGCGGCGGCACCGCGUCCGAUCCUCGAGCGUAUGGGGCUUUGUCACCCGCUCUGUAGGCCCGGCCGGCGCUUGCCGAACGCAAAACAACCAUUCUUUCCAGGUUGACCUCGGAUCAGGUAGGGAUACCCGCUGAACUUAAGCAUAUCAAU